UCCUACACAAGCAAGUAAGAGUAAUCUCCAGUGAAGUACCUGAACCAGACAAGAAGUGAACAUGUCCUCACCUUACCAUCUUUUAAACUGCUGGAUGAAAUCCGUUCUGCUGUUACUAGCCACUGCACCAAGUCAAGUUCACUGAGCCCUUGCACACCAUGGACAUCUGAAUAUCUAGCUUUGUUUUAUUCAUUACAGUUAAAAUUUCAAAUAAUAAAACUGCAUUUUACAAUAAAGAAAUCAGUUUUAUUGAAGGCAGGACUAAACUACAUGAAAUACUCUUAUGAGAUUGUACUUCUGUCUUAUAUCUGUUGGACUAGUUUUUAGGGAAACAUUAUUCUCUGAUGCAAUUGUUUUAUCGUGUCCCUUUCACUCAACUGUUUCUAUACAUAAAAGUAAAAUAGUCCUCCAUUACUUCUAACAAGUUAUGCAUAUGGUCACGUUAUUUCAAGAGAUCAUGCUUAAGAGGUAUUUUGUAAACAAAUUAGAAGUUGUUACAG
This is a long non-coding RNA of Protopterus annectens (West African lungfish), 500 nucleotides long. RefSeq lists it as uncharacterized. Lineage: Eukaryota; Metazoa; Chordata; Ceratodontiformes; Protopteridae. The record is from RefSeq and is a predicted model, not a curated record. The transcript is spliced from 3 exons.